Molecule: long non-coding RNA, 615 nt
Organism: Ipomoea triloba (trilobed morning glory)
Lineage: Eukaryota; Viridiplantae; Streptophyta; Magnoliopsida; Solanales; Convolvulaceae
Exons: 3
Source: RefSeq, a predicted model, not a curated record
UUUUCUUUCACGCUCUCUCUGUCUAAAAUCUCAUCUGCUCUACCCAAGCCAGCCUUCUCCGAAAGCAACUUUGAGUUUAAAUAGGGCUGCUUAGGGACAAUAUAUAUCUCCACUUCAACUAGGGAUGAAGUGGAGAGUAGAGCUAGACGAAUUGAUGGCAAAGAGAGAGCUUCGGAUCAACCAUGUAGAUUGAGAACCACAGAUUAGAGAAGGAAAUUGGUUAUGCAUAAUGCAUGACAAAGUAUAUCGGUGCACAACAUAAAUGCAUAGGGCGACAUGGGAUGAGAAUAGAGACAAAUUGAAACAAAUUGUACUAUAUUGGGUGAAGAUACCAUGUCAUAUGUAGAGAGACAAUAAUGUACCCACCUAAGAAGUUAGCUUGUUUUCAUCUAAGCUUCAAGGGUGCUAAAUGUCAUGCUAGCAAUUUCAAAGCUGCAUAAUUCCUAAUUUGUCGAAGAUGUCAGCCAAAUUUCUUUCUAUGAAGAAGCCAGGUUCUUUUGGAUUAGGUAAAUCAACUUCCUCAUUUUCAAGAGUGCUAAAUGUCAUGUUAGCAAUUUCAAAGCUGCAUAAUUCCUAAUUUGUAGAAGAUGUCAGCCAAAUUUCUUUCUAUGAAGA